Molecule: unclassified non-coding RNA, 228 nt
Filed under: uncultured Ramaria
Lineage: Eukaryota; Fungi; Basidiomycota; Agaricomycetes; Gomphales; Gomphaceae
Description: sequence contains ITS1
Source: RNAcentral
GAGUAUUGCUCAAGGGGGGGUUUGCUGCUGGCUUAGGCAUGUGCGCACCCUUCGACUUCUAGUUUGCAUACACCUUGUGCACCAUUGGUGAGCGUCCUCCCAUUUGGAGCCGUCUCGCAUGACCUCUUCGGAGGGAGGGCGGGACUGAGGGAGGGCGCUCCCUUCAUGUAUACAUCUGCAGCCUGUUUUAAACGCAUGUCUGAUGCCCCUGAGGGGACGAAUGUAAUA